RNAcentral lists this long non-coding RNA (587 nucleotides) under Eutrema salsugineum. RNAcentral's name for it is "long non-coding RNA (ESAL_LNC001305)". Lineage: Eukaryota; Viridiplantae; Streptophyta; Magnoliopsida; Brassicales; Brassicaceae. The record is from RNAcentral.
CUUCCGAAUUAUCUCCAUGCUUGGUUUUCCUCUGAAUUCCUCGUAUUGGCUCUGUUGCCCCUGGAUCUGGGGUCCUGACGACUUUCCAACUUGAACGGAGAAGUUUUUCUCGGAGAGUGUUGCCCCCCUCCUUCUAGCGCCAAACUGUUUAGGGGAUUUUUAGUCUUCUUGGGAGCAAGUCUUCUGCAAAACUUAACAAACGCGUGAAGGUCUCGGAAAACACGAUGGAAGGGUGUUUUUCAAUGACUCACCGACGCUUAAGUCAUAAAACAGUAAAAAAAACCACAAAGUGGCAGAUCGUAGAGAGAAAAGAAAUCAGAAAACGGAUGUAAGAAAAUGGGCCGAUAGCUCUUGAGGAAAUUGGAGUCCACUCGGGCCUUUAGGUGGUGAUGGGCUUUUUGAAGUAGAAAGAUAAGAAGUGUAAGAGUUUGUAGAUGGAAAUGCUCCACAGUUUAGGAACCACCGUGGAGAGGAAGUGAAGAGAUGGUCGGAAUGACGACCGAAAAUGUAAAAAUAUUAUGGCAUAAGGAUCACGAGUAUCGCCUGAGUCUUUUGAUAACAGAAAGUUGGAUCCUGUUGAUCCCGAG